UCCGUCUUCCUUUUUCGCUUCUUCGCUUGAUAGUGAAGGUGGGCUCCGUCCGCUCCUGUGUACCUCCCCAUCUCACUCCCGAAGAGAAAACUCGAUAGAUGAUGGGGAUGAGCACCACACGGCUGCCAGCAAUGAAAGGAGAGUGAGGAGGGAUGUGGAUAGCACGAGAAGCUCAUUUUCCUUUUUAAAAAGGCACAAAGUCGUUCGAAGAGGGGGCAGGAGCACCCUUAUUCACACGGGCCGAAGGGAGAAACAUAACCCAUGGCGUUUCAGCGGUAGGCGAGUCUGUCUCUGUGUCUGUAUGUAGACGAAGGACGCGUAGAAGGACCAAAAAGGCAGCAAAAGAAGAGGUGCCGCUGUUCACGCGGUGAAGUUGCCUACACUGUGUCCACGACGCCACACCUUCUCCAAAAAGGAAUGGAGGCAUCUGUGGGCUGCGUUGUUGUCGUGGCAUACGUUUACGAAAGAGCACAAAGACGCAGCAACAACAGAAAAAAUGCCGCGCUGCUUCAUCGCCUCUUCCCUUUCUUCUUUGUGUUGUUUGUUCGCCUCGCUCAUAUUUUUCAUCUUUCUGUCUCUCGUGUUUGUUUGUUGUCUUACUUCCUCUGUUGUACACGCCCGUAUUUCUGUUUUGUUUUUUUCGUGUUUCUUCUAUUGUGGCGUUCUCGUGCACGUGAUGUAAGCUGGUGUGUGCGUGCGCGUUUUCAUACAUUGAAAUGCCUUCAACGCAUACCACAUGUGACAUCUCUUUCCUCCUCCCUACUUCACCUGCCGACUCCACCCGCUCUCACCUUCAGGUUCGACCUCCGCUUAUUGGUCCCCUCACCAGCCCUGAGGAGGUCGAAAAGCGAGACGGAAGGGGGCAAACAGAAUUCGCGAAUGCCUUUUGAAGCACUCAAACCUUCACAAAGCACGAAAAGAUCCUUUACGUAUUGUUUGGCUUCUCCGUGGCGACUUGUGUGUGCUUUUAUUUUAUUUUUUAUUUUUCUCUGUUGGACUCACGGACUCCGCUCGCUGUUGUUGGUCGGCGUUUUUGUGUGUGUGUGUGUGUGUGUGUGUGUGUGUGUGUGUGUGCAGAUUCUGUUUGUGGCUGUGUCGUGUGUCUACUUCCCUUCCAUUCUUUCGCUUCUCCGUCCUGAUAGUCUGUCCACCAAACCCCACCCUCUCCUGCCUCGUAAGCGUGUCUGUGUGUGCUUCAUUCCCUCCCCUCGCCCUUUUUUUCUGGAUUGCUGUACUGCCUCUAGCACUGGGCUUUCUGAUUGGUAGCCCCUCCCCCCCCCUCGUUGCGUGUCCUACCUCUUCGCCUUCUUUGUCAAAUGGUUAGAAGUGAAUCGUGGGCACGUGCUACAGGACGGAGGGCGGUAAAAGGAUCAAUAUGGGAUGACCGCAUUUGUGUGUGUACGGAAGCCGCUGCUGUUUUUGUUGUUUUUUGGUUGUUUGUUUUCUCCACCCUGUGUUGUUUACAGAAAUAAACAGCCAACGCCAUACUAACGCGUAUCUUUGUCUUCGGACUCACUUCUCUUUGUUGGUAGUAGCGCAGCUGUUUUUGUGCGCUUUUGAUAGCGCAUCCUUCGUCUCCCGAGGUCACCUCCUCUUUUCGUUAGGCUCUUUUCCUCGUUCUCUAUUUCUCUCCGUCCUUCCAUGGCAUCCGAGUCUUGCAGCAGCGGGGUAUGGAAAAUGAGUACGCACGCGUCUGUGUGUGUGUGUCUGUGACCGGGUGCUCCCUCUUUCCUGAAUAUCCUUGAUCAUCGCGCUUAUAUUGCUGCUGUGUCAACUCUCUUCCUUUAGCGGACAAGACACCGGUCGCCUUCGUAGACCGCAUGUCUAUUCAGCGUCCGUCUAAGCUCGCAAGCGACGCUGGAGGUAGAUGGAUGAAGAAAUUUGAAGACAGAAGAAAACAGUUGUACGCCUCUGCUACACUUGCGCAGGUGUGCGCUAGUGCUCGUUUGUCUGUGGGUGGGCGUGAAGGACGACGUUGCUGAGCACCCUUUUUCUCCUCUUACUCUACUCGUUUCUUUUCCCGUUAGCCUGGACACAGUGGACCACUCCAGAGCUGCGUGAGCUAGAAGGAGAGAGCGAGAGCGAGAGAGCUCCUUGUUUCCCUCCUUUCUUCCUCUGCCUGUGUGUGUGUGUGUGUGUGUGUGUGUGUGUCUGUCUGUAUGUUGUUUUUUGUGUGUCUUGUUUCUUCUGCAAUCGUUCUGUUAUGCUUCUCAUAUAUAUGCGUGUGUAUGCGUGUGCGCCGGGGUGUGUCUCCCCACUUUUUUCCCCGCUGCCUCGCAUCCCUUUUCUUUUUGUCGGUUUUUCGCUCUUCCUUUCCUUGUCUUCCGAUAAUGGCCCAUCCCCACUAACAGCAAUCAAGCCUUGUCUUUCCUUCGCGCUCGCACCCGCUUCCCCUCCCUUCACGCCCCACCCUCGCCGUCGCCCGUUGCGAUGUGAACAAACGCACAAGCUUGUACUGCUCGCUAGUGCGCAUGCGGAUGCUCCCUCGGUUCCCUUCUCUCUUUACUAGUAUUAUCUGCCUCUGGCCGUCUCUUCGUAUUUUCUCUGACUUGUUCUGACUGGCAGUCUGAUCGUUCUAUAUGCGUGGCAAACCGGUGGCGUGCUCGUACGGGCACGCGUGCGUGUUUCACUCCGUGAACAGGCCUCUCUCUGAGAUGGCGGUAUGCUAUCGUGAGGGUACACGCACGCAGCACCACGAUCGUUACAUGGGGCACCCGGCCACAUCACGAGUUUAACACCCGUCGAG
RNAcentral lists this unclassified non-coding RNA (2746 nucleotides) under Leishmania donovani. RNAcentral describes it as "gene:unknown". Lineage: Eukaryota; Euglenozoa; Kinetoplastea; Trypanosomatida; Trypanosomatidae. The record is from RNAcentral.